CAGGGCACAGCUUCCGCGCUGUGCUGUGUGUCAUGCUCCUGCUGUGCUACCACACCUUCCUCACCUUCGUGCUCGGUACUGGGAACGUCAACAUCGAGGAGGCCGAGAAGCUUUUGAAGCCCUACCUGAACCGGUACCCUAAGGGCGCCAUCUUCCUGUUCUUUGCAGGGCGGAUUGAAGUCAUUAAAGGCAACAUUGAUGCAGCCAUCCGGCGUUUCGAGGAGUGCUGUGAGGCCCAGCAGCACUGGAAGCAGUUCCACCACAUGUGCUACUGGGAGCUGAUGUGGUGCUUCACCUACAAGGGCCAGUGGAAGAUGUCCUACUUCUACGCCGACCUGCUCAGCAAGGAGAACUGCUGGUCCAAGGACUCAGGCUUGGAAGGAACUAAAGACCACAAGAGAAACUUCUGAACC
Molecule: small RNA, 413 nt
Filed under: Pongo abelii (Sumatran orangutan)
Lineage: Eukaryota; Metazoa; Chordata; Mammalia; Primates; Hominidae
Description: processed transcript
Source: RNAcentral